CAGCGUUACAGCGGGAAGAAAGAAACAGUCAUCGAUGAAGCAGAUGUUUAAGGUUCAAAGUAGAUCAAGGCAUUUUAUGAUAAGAACAUGGAUCUGUUUUGGGUAACUGAUUUGGCUAGACAGAACUAUCUUCUCCAUAAAAAGGUUUCUAGAUUGGAACGAGCCACGCCACCGACAUAUAAUCAUCAAUCAACUGUUAGAUUUUAAAACUCUAGCUUUUCUCUUAGUAGCAAUAUGUACUUAUUUUUGUCUUGAUGGGUAAGUAGCUCCUGAAUGUUUAUAUUCAUUUUUGAGCUGCUCCAACCUUGCGUGGACAACUGUUAUUCAAGUUCUGGUAGAUGCCGAGUCUGCAGUGUACUCGGGAUAAAUGUUUAGUGAAAUAUUGGGGAUAUCUUAUUGUUCGCUUUUACUGCUUCCUGUCACCCCCCAACGUAGGUGAGGUGGACAGGCACGCAGUACCUCAUUUACAUGCCGACUCAUUCUNNNNNNNNNNNNNNNNNNNNNNNNNUAUAUAUAUAUAUCACCAUAGGCCUACGAGGCCUCGCUCUAUACAUCAUGCUGUUAACAGCGACAUAACUGACCACAGGUGUCCAUGCGUCUACAAAAGCUUCUAAGAAUAUCUGAUUGACAUAACAUCAUCGGGAUAGGGCUCCGACCUACCUGUAAGUAUAUAUAUACAUAGGACGGUUUGAUAACCUCUAGACUCGGUUGUACUCCUGAUGAAAUGGAGCUUUGCCAAUCCUCAAUUGGAUAUUAACUCUGUCAAUGAUAAGAGCCUGUCAAACUGGAUACCUGAACCUGUAGGCAUGAAUGCAGUGCCCCAAUGAUGGGGCAUUAGUACAAAGAAAUGUAUCAAGUAUGUAAGGCAGAUAACAUAUGAAUAACUGAAUUGAAACUGAGCUGAUAAUAUAAUAACUGAAAGCAACUAGGAGUCAAAGAUGAUCUGAAGAUAUGUUUACCUGCUGAUACUGACUCAACUCUUUCAAUAUAGUAAGUAAAAUAGCUAUUUGGCUCUAUAAGGCUUGGUACGGGUAAAUGCUUGGUCGCAGUAGGCUCGCUCAUAGGCGUUCGGCCAUACUAGGCUCGGUAUCUAAAUCACUACUUUGCCAUUCUGGACUCACUCAUAGGCGCUCGGCCAUACUAGGAUCGGUCAUACUAGGCUCGGUAUCUAAAUCACUAUUUGCCGAUUUUGGGCUUGCACAUAAGUGCUCGACCACAGUAGGCUCGGUAUAUAAUUUACCAUGUGAUCAGAGGAUGCCCAAUAGGGACCUGCCCACCGAUUAUAGCUCGGUGAUGGUGAAAAUACCGUAAUACUGUAUAUAUAUAAACUCUCUGCUCUCUUGACUGAAAAAAAUAAUACUUAAUUGAAUAUAAAAUCUCGAUAAGGGAGGAUACUAUAACCUUAGUGCUAUUUGCACAUCACGCCUCAUUACAAUUUUAAAAUUAAGAGAAUUACCUUUUUAGAUCACUUAUCUGUAAAAGACAGGUUUCUUACGUGUAAAAGUAAAUCUCCCAUUUGGAAAAAAAGAGAUAGGGUCAUAAAACUAAAAACAAGUUUGUAAAGGACCACAACCAAUUGACCCCUAUAACUUAUGAGACUAGGUUAAUGUACAUAAAUUCAGGAAUACAAACUUCUCUUUAUGUCUUGCUAUCAAAUGCGUUUAGUUACGAGAUCAUGCCAAAAUGAAGGAAAUGUUUAGCCUUAAUAUACCUUAUAUCUGAAUACUUACAUUACAAAGAUCAAACAUCUCUAAGGCUACACUGAAACAUAAAAGUGGCACUUACGUGUUUCAUAAGAGACCGUCCGUAAGGCUCACUCAUAAACAUGAAUAACUAGUGGCUCGUACGCGUAACACAGUAGACUGUCCGUACGGCUCACAAUAUCGAGGUCUGGCUACGCGUAUGAUGUACUUUCAAGGUUUUGCACCUCUCAAGCACAAAGAAGAGAGAAAAACAAAAGUACCCCGCUAAAGUUUUUCACAAAACUAGCGAAAGCGUUCUUCAAACUCAUGUUAGAAGAAUGUAAGAUGAAAAGAAACCUUACCCACACAUUCUUCAAUCCUGCAAGAUUUCAAGAAGCGUUGAAUAACGGAAGAACAAUGAAAUAAAAAGUAAAUCACGUUUUUGAAGCAAGAGCUUAGACAAACUAAUCACCAAUGUUUAUUUUCAGCAUAUUGAGCCCUUUAAAUAGGCCUUACAAUGAGUAAAAUUGAUAAGGCUAAGGAAAAUUAAUCCUAAUUAAACUAGAAUAAGAAUAAGGCUAAGAAAACCUACCUAACUAAAAUAGGAAAAAGAAUUCUAUAGGAAUGGACUGCCAACUACCAAUCCUAGUUUGACUAGAACUAUAAAUAUAAUCCUACUAAAACAAGAAUUAAGAAAUCCUAAACUUUAAGGAAAAGAAAUCCUAAUCUUGAAUGGACUUGGACUUCUUCAAUUUCUUGAAAUUCUUGGGCCUCAAUUGGACUAAGGCUAAUUAGUGUAAGCAUUUUAAAUUCGUGGCCCAAUUCUCCAAACCCAUUGACACCUUCAUAAGCCCAAUAAGCCUCCAUUAUUGUAGAAAAUAUAAACUCCACUUGUGCUUGUCUAGCAUCAAGAUUUGAGCUUAUAUGUUCAUCAUUCUCCCCUAGUUGAAAAGGACUCUCCCUCGAGUCAUUGGAAUAGUAGGGAUCAAGCUUUGCUACAUUGAAGAUAGGUGAUAUUUCAAAGUCAUUGGGAAGCUCCAAGCAAUAAGCAUUAUCACCAAUCUUUUGCAGUACCUUAAAAGAUCCAUCAGCUCGCUUCUGUAAUUUUGAAAACUUGUGGUUUGGAAAUCUCUCCUUACUCAAAUGAACCCAAACUAGGUCGCUUUCCUUGAACACCACAUGUUUUCUACGUGUAUCCGUUUUUUCUUUAUAUUUAGCAUUUUGCUUCUCGAUAUGUGCAUGAACUUUCUCAUUUAGUUUUUUUGAGUUGCUUCACUCAAUCAGCAACAUCUCCACUAAAGGAAUGAGUAACUAGAAGAGGGGAAAAAUCAAGUGGUCCAAUAGGAUUCUUACCAUAAACGACUUCGGAUGGACUCUUUUCUGUAUUGCGGUUGGUUGACUUAUUGAAGGCAAACUCAGCAGUAGGAAGUAACGAUUCCCACUCUUUGAGAUUCUUCUUUAUUAACCCACGAAGCAAAGCACCUAAACUUCGGUUGAUAACUUCGGUUUGCCCAUCACUUUGGGGAUGAUGAAAAGUGCUAGGUGUUAGCUUAGUAGCAUGUUUAGCCCAUAAAGUCCUCCAAAAAUGACCUAGGAACCUGGAAUCCCUAUCUGAAACAAUAGGUCUGGGAAUUCCAUGCAAUUUUACAAUAUGAUCAAAGAAGAGAUCAGCAAUAUUUGUUGCAUCUGAAGUCUUAUUGCAAGGAAUAAAGUGAGCCAUCUUUGAAAAUCGAUGAACAACCACGAAGAUGGAAUCCUUACUUCUUUGAGUCCUUGGAAGGCCCAACACAGUACAUGCUAAUGUCUUCCCAAGGUUGAGUAGGAAUUGGCAGAGGAGUGUAAAGACCCGAAUUGCUUUUGUGCAUUUUUGCUUUUAUACAAGUUUCAUAUCUUUCAACCAACUUAUUGACAUUCUGAACCAUCUUAGGCCAAUGGAAGUUUUCUUGAACUAAGCGUAGAGUCUUUGUUUGCCCAAAGUGGCUAGCGAACCUCCCUCAUGAGACUCACGGAUUAUAAAUUCACGCAAACUUCCUUGUGUAAUAUAAAGUUGUUUACCAUAAUAAAGAUAACUAUCCUUAAGCAAAAAGAUACACUGAGGACCCUCCCAUCAUUGACCCCAAAUAGCUCCAAAGUCCGGAUCUGUUGCGUAUAAUUUCUUUAUGUGCUCAAAACCCGCAAUAGUAUUUUGCAUGGCAGAAAUAAAACAAGGCGUGCGACUUAAUGCAUCAGCUACUUGAUUGACAUUUCCAUCCUUGUAUUUAAUAAUAAAGUGAAAGGCUUGCAAAAGUUCUACCUACUUGGCAUGCCUAAUUUUGAGUUUAUGUUGGCUAUUCACAUACUUCAAGGCCUCACGAUCAGAAUAAAGUACAAAUUCUCGAGGUAAAAGAUAGUGACUCCAAUGAGAAAGAGCACUAACAAUGGCAUAUAACUCCUUGUUAUAAGUAGAAUACUUGAACUUUGCAUCAUUCAGCUUCUCACUAAAAUAAGCAAUAGGUCUACCUUCUUGACCAAGAACAACUCUAAUCCCAAUUUCGGAAGCAUCACAUUCAACUUCAAAGAUUACAUCAAAGUUGGGAAAAGCAAGCACAAGUGCUUGCGUCAUCUGCCUUAAUUAAUUCAAAACUCUUUUGGGCAAUAUCCGUCCAUUUAAAUGAGUUUUCCUUCAAAUACUCGGUAAUAUGAGCAACAAGAGAGCUAAAAUUCUUUAUAAAACGCCGAUAUAAAGAAACCAUACCAUGAAAACUGUGAAUCUCUGUUAAGCUUUUUGGUAUAGGCCAGCUAGCAAUAACUUCAAUCUUUCCUGAGUCGGCAUGAAUUACCUCACUAGAGACAAUAUUAACCGAGAAUAGAGACUUGCUCGGAAAAGAACUUGCACUUCUUCAAAUUGGCAUAAAGGGUUUGCUCUCUUAAAAAUUCAAAAAUCUCUCUCAAGUGCUUCAAAUGUUGUUGAUCAUCCUUGCUAUUAAUAAGUAUAUCAUCAAAAUAAACAACGACAAAUUUUCCCAUGUAUGGAUGAAAAAUUUGUGUCAUGAGUCUCAUACAUGUGCUAGGAGCGUUAGAGAGCCAAAUAGCAUGACAAGCCAUUCGUACAAUCCCUUGCCAAUAUUGAAUGUAGUCUUCCAUUCAUCACUCUCCUUCAUUUGAAUUUUGUGAUAGCCACUCUUCAAAUCUAUUUUAGAAAAUAUCUUGGUCCCAUGUAAUUGAUUAAAAAGAUCAUCAAGCCUAGGAAUAGGAAACAUGUACUUGAAGGUGAUCUUGUUAAUAACACGACUAUCAACACACAUGCACCAAGAUCCAUCUUUCUUAGGAACAAGCAAGGCAGGUACAUCAUAAGGACUUAAACUUUCCCUUAUUAGUCCACGAUCUAGCAGUUCCUCAACCUGUCGUUGAAGUUCCUCUUGCUGUGUUUGAUUCAAUCGAUGUGCUACUUUAUUAGGAAGUGGUGCACUUGGAAUAAAAUCAAUUUGAUGUUAAAUUGACCUCAUUAGUGGUAAGGAAGAAGGUGUAGUAUCAGACACAAUAUCAUGAAACUCAUCUAAUAUUGCUUGAAGUCGUGGGUCAAUGACUUCUAAUGACUCUUUCUUCGUGAUAGAUUCCACUUCCUUAGGUACCACAACAAGCACUUCCUCUCUCUCCUUCAAGUAUAUUUUUACAAUAGCUCUUGUGAUGUAUGUCUCCUUCACUUUAGGAUUUGACUUCUUUAAAUCUUCAGGGUUCAUUGGGAGCCGUUUGAUCUUCUUUCCAUAUUUAAAGAAAGAGUAAGUGUUCUUGAAGCCAUCAUGAAUUGUCUUUCUGUCAUAUUCACAUGGUCUCCCAAGCAGUAAGUGGCAAGCAACCAUAGGCAUUACAUCACACCAAACCUUAUCUUGAUAAUUUUUUCCAAUAGAGAAAGGAAUAAGGCAUCAUUUAUUAACAUGUACAUUCCUUCCUUCAUCCAGCCACCUCAUGUGGUAUGGCUUCUGCAAUGGAUCUACCCCAAAUUCCAAUUUGGUAACCAUUUCUUCAGAAACUACAUUGGUACAACUUCUCGUAUCAAUGAUGAGUGUACAAACUUUUCCCUUAGAUGUACAACGUGUAUGGAAAAUAUUGUGUCACAACCAUGAUUCUUCCUUGCUAAAAUCUGAAUGAAGAACUCGUUGGAUCAUAAGGUAUUCUCUAUCAUCUCAAUAUUCAACUACUUAUUCCAAGUUGUCAUCAUGUUGCUCUUCACGAUAAUCUUCUUCAUCAGUUGCUCCUUCAAGGAUAGUGAAUGCCUUUUUGUUACUACAAUCAGCUUGUAUAUGUCCAAGUCCUCAACAUUUAUGGCAUCUCUUUUGAAAAAUAGCUUCUGAAUUCACGGGCUUCCCUUCAACUUUCUAGACACUUGAUUUUGUUGUAUAUGAUUGUGGCUUUGUAGAGCUGUAACUAGCACUCCUAUGGUUGAAAGUGUUCGGCUUUUUGAUGGUAGUUGAUGAAAACGUGGAUUUGGCUUUCCUAUGUUGUGUCUCUAUGACCUUGGCUAGUUUGACAACAUCUACAAAGGUCCAAUGGGGAUGCAAUCGUAUCAUAUUCGCAAUAGGCUUAUUUAAUCCAAUCAAAUAUCGAGGAAUUAGGCGGGUUGGUUUUUCUUUAAUGUCACUCUUGAGCCUAAGAUAUUCAAAUUCUCUUGUGUACUCAUCCACAGAUAAAGUUCCUUGUCUAAAAGAAUGAAACUUCAAGUAAGAAUCUUCUUCAUAUGUCUCUUGCAAGAACUGUUUGUGCAAUUCUCGUUUCAUUCUCUCGCAAGUGCGAAUUCGUAUUUUCCUAUAAGCUCUCACUUCUGCACCUUGCGUGCAUAUCCUUGUGUUGAUGCUGUUGUGUAUGGCAAGGGCUGGUAUUGAAGAUGUACCUGCGUUCCAGUUAUGGCUAUCACUUGUCCUUGGUAGCUUUAGAUUCGAAUUCUGUUCAUAUACAUUUGAAACAUAUGUUGUACUUAUUUUAUUUCAGUUUUGUAAAUCUAAGUCUUAGUAGCUCAUGACUUGUACUACCAGUCCUUGGGGAGUUGUAUAAAAAUUUAAUUAUUUCAUUUUUGACUCUUAUCAUUAUCACUAUAUCAUGUUUUAUUGUUAUUUGGCUUAUCUAGCGGGUUGGGUUAGGUGCCAUCAUGACGGGUUAGAUUUUGGGUCGUGAUAUUAAUACUAUUAUACUUAUCCUUACCACAUCAUUUUUAGCCCAAAACAUCAUAAGAUUGAGGAAUCCUGGGGGGGGGGGGGGGGUGGGGGGGGGGGUUUCCUUGGAGCCUACAUGUUCGCGACAAGGGGGCUCACGUUCUCAAUAGUCCAGCCUGGAAGCCUUCACAUUCACGAGGGUUCCUUUCGUGUUCGCGAAGGAGAAAUGAGGGCGGAGGCGAGGCUGUGAUUCGCGAUCACGAGGCUUUAUCCACGAUCACGAAGGGUAACACCUCGGCAGAAUACAUUUUUGUUUCGGGAUUUAGGCUCAUUUCUUUCGAUUUUCACUUUGGAUUGGACAAUUUUGGAGGUCUUUUAUAGGGGAUGUUCUCAAACAUCACAAGGUAAGUGAUAUCUAUCAAUUAUGAGUGAAAUACAUGGAUUAUGGGUAGAUUUUAUCAUAUACAUUUGUGAAAAUUUGGAAAUUUAUGGAAGAACCUAGGCUUUAGUAAAGAUGGUAUUUGACCACGAAAAUGAUUAUGGAAUUGGGUAUAAGUUAUAUAUUUGAGUUUGUAAGGUCAUGGGUAACAUUGAUAUUCGAAUUUUUGAAAUCCGGGCACGUGGGCCCGGGGUUGACCUUUAUGGACUUUCUGAGUUGGGCUGGAAAAUUAGUAUAAUAGUUAAAUUAUAAAUUUUGAGCAUAUAUUGAUUGAUUUAUGUGUCAUUUGAUUAUUUUGGGUUGCUCAGCGUUGUUUUAAGGCGACUAGUGAGGUUUGAGAGUCGAGUAGAGGGCUUGAAAGCGAGGUAAGUCUCUUGCCUAAUCUUCUAAGAGAAAAAUUAUCUAAUUGUUGUGUUCUACUUGUUAUGGGGGCUAUGUACGUACAAGGUGACGAGAGUUCAUGCAUAGCUAAAAUCAUGUUUAUGUCCGGGUAGAUUUAUAACUUUACCAUGCCUUAUUUGUACUACUUGAACUAAACUUGUUAGUUUAAUUACUUAAAUUUAUAAUUGAGAUUUGAUUAGGAUUUAUGUUGGACCAAGCCUAUUUACCUUGGGUUUUGGCAGGAUACUUGAUUGUCGGUAAAAAUCAUGCUCUCUUUAUGUUCCUAUCCUUGUGUUGUAUUUAUAUGACCAGUAGUUCGGAAAGUUCCUCUAUUCCUGUGGAUCGGGCCGUACGCUUUGACAGUGCUAUGAAAUAGCGUUAUGGAUCGGGCCGUACAACCUUGGAAGUAUAUUUGAGAUGCAUAAAGGGAUAUGGCCGUACGACCUUGGCAAUGUACACUAUUAUUAUGGAUCGGGCCGUACGACCUCACCAAAAUUCGUGUGUAAUAUCGCUAGGAUUCAGAAUAUACAUGAGAUUUCAUUCUUGACACGAGACUUGACAUUUACUUGAUGUUCCUUAUCUUUUUGAGAUAGCACAUGGUAUUUGAUGUUUUCAUAUUUUUAUUAUGUAGAAGACUCAUGUUAGUUACAGUUACUUAUUUGAUUGCUACUUAGUGUGUUUCAUGCCUGUCUACUGAGGCAUGUACUUCAAGCGGUCAUUUGGGCGCGCAUAUAUACUAUCCGGUGACUUAGUGGUGAGCUGCUCUGCAUACUCAGAUCUGCAUCACAUAGAGUCUCCUUCUUGUUAUAUUUAUCAUUUUUGUCUAUUUUGUUCAGACAAUAGCUAUAGUGGUUUGUAUAUUCUAUUAGAUUGCUCGUACACUCGUGACACCGGGUUUUGGGAGUUUCUACUAGAUGAUUAUGGCUCUAUCUAAUAAAAUCAUCAUUUCAUUUUAUGUUUCAUUCAUACUUUAUGACUUAUUAAGAAUGUAAGUAUGUCUCAUGGCUUCUACAUUUAAUUUCAUUUACUUAAUAAAAUCCAUGAUUUCAAAGGUCUAAGAACAAAUAAUCAAGUUGAUGGUUCACCGUUGGUUUGCCUAACAGCGGUGUUGGGCACCAUCACGGCCUAUGAUAGGAAUUGGGUCGUGACAGCUUGGUAUCAGAGCACUAGGUUCAAAUAGGUCUCAUGAGUCAUGAGCAGACCUAGUAUAGUCAUGCAGAUCAGUGCGAGAACGUCCAUACUUAUCUUUGAGAGGCUAUAGGGUAUUAGGAAACUUCUCUUUCUUUAUCUUUUGUUGUGUAGUUUAUGUUGUUCUAAGUAUAUUUAUCUUAUUCUCUCAUAGAUGGUGAGAUCAUGCACGAUGGUAUUACCUGGCAGUAGAAGGGCUGCUCCUCCAGUUGUCAGAGGUAGAGGUAUAGGUCGAUGGAGGGCCAUAACUCCUGCUAGAGGAAGAUGGUGUCCUAGAGUUGCUCCUAUAGAACCAUUAAUGGAUCCGGUGGCGUAUCCUAUUAUUUAGGAGCAGGAUGAGGCACUUAUAGAUGAGCCAGUCCCAAUAAAUUUUAUGACCGCACCGGGAUUUCAGGAGGUCAUGGGCCGUACGGUGUGGUUCAUGGAUUCCAUGACUCAGACUGGACUAUUUCCAGUAGAUCUUGCUACAUCCCAGGCGGGAAGGGGAACACAUACUCCCAACCACUCAUGCGCUCGGGCACACUGAUAUUGUGUAUCAGACCCCAGGUGCACUGCCUGCGGGUGAGGUUCAGCCGGUUGCAGUGGUUAGAGCAGAGACUAGACUGUCCGUGACCGUGAAGGAGCAGAAGCUAUUGGGCAUAUGGACUAGGAUUCAUCCUCCUGUCUUUCGGGGUGAGCGGUUAGAGGACCCACAUAAUUUCAUUGAUCGUUGUACGGAGAGGUUGCAUAAUAUGGGGGUAGUGGAGUCCAAUGGGGUGGACUUCAACACAUUUUAGCUAAUGGGGAAGGCUCGCAGAUAGUGGCAAUCUUAUCUCCAUAACAGGCCAGCAGGUUCACCUCCCAUGAUUUAGGAUCAGUUAACACACCUUUUCUAGGAGAGAUAUAUUCUACCCUCACAGUGGGAAGGUUACGGGGUCAGUUUGAGCGGCUCCAGCAGGGUUAUAUGUCCAUGACCGACUAUGAGGAAAGAUUCUCUGAGUUGCCUCGUCAUGUAGCUAUCAUACUCUCCACAUAUGCAAAGAGAAUGCGGAGGUUUAUUGCGGGCUUGCACUAUGGGAAUUAGGUUUCUAUGGCCUAAGAGGCAGAGAUGGGUACUCCUUACAAUCAGGUUGUGGAUAUAGCUUGGAGGAUAGGGUGUAUCCGCAUCCAGGGCAGAGAGUUAACAUCAAUGGAUAAGCGGCCUCGACAUUGUGGUGGAUUCAGCAAUGCCCCGUCUGGGGGCAUAGACCAGUUCAUGAGGGGCUAGCUUAUCAGGUCCAUGUAUUCAACACCACCAUCUGUUUGGGGUGCUCCAGAGCGUACUUACUUCACCGCCAUUCUAGAGAGCACCUACCGUCCACCAACUAUUCAAGGUUCCUCUAGUGGGUAUUCAGGUCAUCAGGGUCAGACCUAGAGUCAGUAGUUUUCAGCACCGAGAGGCUUCUUCGAGUGCAGGGAGCUUGGUCAUGUGAGGAGGGUUUGCCCGAGGCUACGGGAAAAGGUAGUACAACAGGGCCAUCAACCCAUGAUUUCCACACCUACUAUCGCAUCGCACGUCCGGCCAGCCUGAGGUGGAGCGCAGGUGGGUAGGUUUCACCCCUAGAGGUGGAGGCCAGUCAAGUGGUGCUCCAGCUAGAUUCCGUGCCUUCCCAGCUAGACCAAAUGUAGUAGCCUACGAUGCAGUCGUGGGAGGCAAGGCACACAGGGGGAUAGGNNNNNNNNNNNNNNNNNNNNNNNNNNNNNNNNNNNNNNNNNNNNNNNNNNNNNNNNNNNNNNNNNNNNNNNNNNNNNNNNNNNNNNNNNNNNNNNNNNNNNNNNNNNNNNNNNNNNNNNNNNNNNNNNNNNNNNNNNNNNNNNNNNNNNNNNNNNNNNNNNNNNNNNNNNNNNNNNNNNNNNNNNNNNNNNNNNNNNNNNNNNNNNNNNNNNNNNNNNNNNNNNNNNNNNNNNNUAUAUAUAUAUAUAUAUAUAUAUAUAUAUAUAUAUAUGUCUCAACGCCAGUGGGUGAUUCUAUUAUUGUGGAUCGGGUUUAUUGGUCAUGUGUAGUCACUUUCCGUGGUUAUGAGACCAGCGCAUGUCUUCUAUUACUCGAUAUGACUAACUUUGAGGUUAUCCUAGGCAUGGAUUGGUUGUCUCUGUACCAUGCCUUUCUUGAUUGCCAUGCCAAGACUAUUACCUUGGCAAUGCUAGAGUUGCCUAGGUUGGAGUGAGGGGUUCAUUUAUUAGUACAUCCAGUCUGGUUAUCUAUUUCUUAAAGGAUCGACAUAUGGUCGAGAAGGGUUGUUUGGCCUAUCUAGCCUUUGUUUGAGAUAGUGUUGUGGAGACUCUCACGAUAGAUUCAGUGCAUGUGGUGCAUGAGUUCUCCAAUGUAUUUUCUGCCGAUCUACCAGGCAUGCCACCAGAUCAUCAUGAUAUCAAUUUCGGCAUUGAUUUGGCACCAGGCACCCAGCCUAUCUCUAUUACUCCUUAUUGUAUGGCUCCAGUGGAGUUGAGAUAUUUGAAAGAGCAACUUCAGGAGUUUCUCAAGAAGGGAUUCAUCAGGCCGAGUGUGUCUCCUUGGGGUGCACCAGUAUUAUUUUUGAAGAAGAAGGAUGGGAAUAUGUGGAUGUGCAUUAAUUGCCGCCAGCUAAACAAAGUCACCAUCUAGAAUAAGUAUCCAUUGCCGUGCAUCGAUGAUUUGUUUGAUCACAUUCAGGGUUCUAGAGCGUUCUCGAAGAUCGACUUGAGAUCUAGGCAUCAUGAGCUGAGGAUUCGUGCUCUGGAUAAUCCGAAGACGGCCUUCCGGAAUAGAUAUGGGCACCUUGAGUUUCUAGUAAUGUCCUUUGGCCUGACUAACGCCCUAGCAGCGUUUAUAGAUUUGAUGAACCGGGUGUUCAUGCCAUACCUUGACUCAUUUUUCAUUGUCUUCUUUGAUGACUUAUUGAUCUACUCGCGUACCAUGGAGGAGCAUGAGCAACAUUUGAGGAUAGUGCUUCAGACUCUGAGGGAGCAAAAGCUUUAUGCUAAGUUCUCCAAGUGCGAUUUCUGGUUAUAUUCUGUGGAUUUCUUGGGUCAUGAUAUAUCAGGUGAGGGUAUUAAGGUGGAUCCCAGGAAGAUCGAGGCAGUUCAGAGUUGGCCUCGUCCUACCACGUCGACCAAGAUCAAAGGUUUCUUGGGGUUAGCAGAUUAUUAUCAUCGGUUUGUGGAGGGCUUCUCAUCUAUUGAAGCUCCUUUGACUAGAUUGACCUAGACGCGUGCUUAGUUCAGAUGGUCCGAUGAUCGCAAGGCGAUCUUUCAGAAACUCAAGACUGCAUUGACUACAACACUAGUGUUGGUUUUGCCCUUCGGUUCAAGAGUGUGUAUUGUUUAUUGUGAUGCUUCACGCAUCGGUUUGGGUUGUGUAUUGAUAUAGGAGGGGCGAGUUAUUGCAUAUGCUUCACGCCAGUUGAAUCCCCAUGAGAAGAAUUACCCUGUGCAUGAUUUGGAGUUGACUGCGAUAUUUCAUUCUCUUAAGAUCUAGAGGAAUUAUCUUUAUGGAGUGUCGUGCAAGGUUUAUACCGAUCACUGCAGUUUUCAGCAUCUGUUUAAGUAGAGGGAUCUUAAUAUGAGGCAGCGCAAGUGGCUUGAGUUACUAAAGGAUUAUGAUAUUACCAUCCUUUGUCAUCUGGGUAAGGUGAAUGUGGGCACGGAUGCUUUGAGCAGAAAGGCCGAGGUAUGGGUAGUUUAGCGUUCAUUUGAGCAGAGGAGAGGCCAUUGUCUUUGCACAUUCUGUCUUUAGCUAACUGACUUGUGAGAUUGGAUAUUCCAUAGCCUAGUCGAGUUCUUGCAUGUGUCAUGGCUUAGUCUUCUUUAUUUGAGCGGAUCAAGACUUGUUAGUACGAUGAUACGCACUUGCUGGUUCUUAGAGAGACGGUGAUAUGAGGUGAUGCCAAGGAGGUUACAAUCCGAGACGAUGGUGUUCUUCCCCAGGGUCGCUUAUGUAAUCCUAAUGUUGAUGGCCUAAGGGAGACGAUUGUAGAGGAGGCACACAGUUCGCGUUAUUCCAUUCACCCAGGAGGCAACAUUAGUGGUGGCAGUGGAUAAAGAAGGACAUAGUUUAAUAUGUGGAGAGAUGUUUAAAUUGCUAGCAUGUUAAGUACGAGCUAGUAUGUGGAGAGAUGUUUAAAUUGCUAGCAUGUUAAGUACGAGCACAAUAGGCUAGGUGGCUUACUUUAACAGAUGGUUAUACCAGAGUGGAAGUGGGAGCGCAUCACUAUUGUCACGCCCCAAUCCUAGAGAGGCGGGACCGGCACCCGAUCCCUCGCUUGACCGAGAGUACCAAUCUGAAACUGAGGGACUUUGAACAUACAAUGUGAUACUUUGGCCGCAGGGCCACAUUGCAGGAUAAUUUGUGAAACAAAAUUUAAAAAUGAAUGGAGACUAGCUCUAACUGAACAUCAGUAUAAACCUGGGCCGGUAAGGCCGUCAUACCUACUAUAGCUGACAAACCCAAAAAAAUAUACAUACAAGGCCUACGAGGCCAACAUACUACACUGAUUGACAUGAUAUGUCUACAAGCCUCUACUGAUAGUUGUGUUGUGGUCGGAACUGGGCCCCGACCUACCCAUGUAAUAUAUAUAUACACAUAAUAUGUACUCAAAACCCUAUACCCGACAAGUACGAAUGACGUGGAGCUUAUCGAUUGAGCUGAACUAGGACAACACCUAUUGAGGAGGUCUACCCUUUUGUCUAUCUGAACCCGCAUGCAUGAAAUGUAGCGUCCCUAGAAAAGGGACGUUAGUACGAAAUAAUGUACAGAGCAUGUAAGGAAAUAGAAUAAUUGAAAACUGAAACUGAACUGAUAAUAUAAUAACUGAAAGUAACUAGGAGUCAAAGAAGAUCUGAAGAUAUACUUACCUACUGAUACUAACUCAACUCUCUCAAUAUUAAGUAAAAUAGCUGUCUGACCUUAUAAGGCUCAGUACGUGUAACUUCUCGACUGUAGUAGGCUUGCGCAUAGGAGGUCGACCAUACUAGGCUCGGUAACUCGGCCAUUCUGUACUCUCCAAUAGGCGCUCCGCCACAAUAGGCUCGAUAUAUAACUUACCAUCUAAUCAGAGGUUGCCCAAUAGGGCCUGCCCCACCGAUUAUAUCUCGGUGGUGGUAAAAAUACUGUAAUACUAUAUAUAUAUAUAUAUAUNNNNNNNNNNNNNNNNNNNNNNNNNNNNNNNNNNNNNNNNNNNNNNNNNNNNNNNNNNNNNNNNNNNNNNNNNNNNNNNNNNNNNNNNNNNNNNNNNNNNNNNNNNNNNNNNNNNNNNNNNNNNNNNNNNNNNNNNNNNNNNNNNNNNNNNNNNNNNNNNNNNNNNNNNNNNNNNNNNNNNNNNNNNNNNNNNNNNNNNNNNNNNNNNNNNNNNNNNNNNNNNNNNNNNNNNNNNNNNNNNNNNNNNNNNNNNNNNNNNNNNNNNNNNNNNNNNNNNNNNNNNNNNNNNNNNNNNNNNNNNNNNNNNNNNNNNNNNNNNNNNNNNNNNNNNNNNNNNNNNNNNNNNNNNNNNNNNNNNNNNNNNNNNNNNNNNNNNNNNNNNNNNNNNNNNNNNNNNNNNNNNNNNNNNNNNNNNNNNNNNNNNNNNNNNNNNNNNNNNNNNNNNNNNNNNNNNNNNNNNNNNNNNNNNNNNNNNNNNNNNNNNNNNNNNNNNNNNNNNNNNNNNNNNNNNNNNNNNNNNNNNNNNNNNNNNNNNNNNNNNNNNNNNNNNNNNNNNNNNNNNNNNNNNNNNNNNNNNNNNNNNNNNNNNNNNNNNNNNNNNNNNNNNNNNNNNNNNNNNNNNNNNNNNNNNNNNNNNNNNNNNNNNNNNNNNNNNNNNNNNNNNNNNNNNNNNNNNNNNNNNNNNNNNNNNNNNNNNNNNNNNNNNNNNNNNNNNNNNNNNNNNNNNNNNNNNNNNNNNNNNNNNNNNNNNNNNNNNNNNNNNNNNNNNNNNNNNNNNNNNNNNNNNNNNNNNNNNNNNNNNNNNNNNNNNNNNNNNNNNNNNNNNNNNNNNNNNNNNNNNNNNNNNNNNNNNNNNNNNNNNNNNNNNNNNNNNNNNNNNNNNNNNNNNNNNNNNNNNNNNNNNNNNNNNNNNNNNNNNNNNNNNNNNNNNNNNNNNNNNNNNNNNNNNNNNNNNNNNNNNNNNNNNNNNNNNNNNNNNNNNNNNNNNNNNNNNNNNNNNNNNNNNNNNNNNNNNNNNNNNNNNNNNNNNNNNCAUGUAGUUACGGGAUCAUGCCAAAAUGAAGGAAAGGUUUAGAUUUAACAUACCUUAUCACAAUUUGUCCAAUAAACCACGUUGAAAUCGUCUCGUCGCACCUUAAUCUAAAACAACGAUAAUAAUAGUAUCAUCAAGUUGCGAAUGGUACAACUAUCUCACAACGAACGGCAAGCUUAUUUUAUAUAAAAACAGGCAGCACCUCCUCUAUAAUAUUUACUUGCUCCCAAUUCGCGACAACACCAACAACACAAGAGCACAAAAAUAAAAACAUAUAAUACAACAUUUUCCAACCUUAUAUCCAUCACGAAAUACCACAAAACAGCCCAACACACCCCAAUCACUCCAUACACAAAACGACAACCAUAGUAGUGUCAAAUAACCCGAAAAUGUUACGACGAAUGACCAGCGCACCAUCCUGCCAUUAUGUGGUGUUUCUCCAUACCCUUUAUCCUUCCAAACUCCAUGAAACAAUAGCAAAAUAGACAACCCAAUAACAACACGAAAUAGCCCAAAAAACAGUCCAUUACAAGUUAAAUAACCCGAACUCAUAGCUUCUGAUCACCGUCCAGUGAGUUCUUACAGUUAUAGAAUGAAUUUCUCUGCCUUUCCAGUAGAAAAAAAAAGGAUGAAAGAGGUCACACACUUACCUUAUUUGGUGAAGAUCUCAGCUCCUAACUUGGUUCUUCAACUCUUAGGUUUUCCUCCAACUACAACUUGAAAAGAAGAGAAAAUCAUUUAGGGUUUUGUGUUGAAUUUUUGGGAGAGGUUUACAGGGUUUUAUCUUUGAUUUCUUUCUUUACAAUGAGUGAAAAAUAUGAAGGAAAUCAGCCCUUAAAAGGGCUCUUUGGCUGACACCAACUAGCCCCUUUUUGUGGACAUAUUUGGUCUUUUUAUUUAAGCAAGUAGGUGACACACCUACUUGUCACCUAUUCAGUCGGCGCAGUCUCGCAAAAUCGCAAAUAGCUCUCUACUCCGAUGUUGUAUUGACAAACGGUUUAAUGUGUUGGAAAUUAGACUCGUAGAUAUUCAAUUUUGUGGAUGAAUCUCCCCGUAACUCUAAGUAUAUUGGGACAAAAUUGCAGUGACAUUAGACCUGAAUUUCAGUAAAACUUAUGAACGUAACUUGUGACGACCUUCAUCGAAUUUUGUUCCACCCCUCGCUUGACUUCAAAACUUAAAAUACGACCAUCAUACGACUAAAAUAACUCAUAAAAUAAAAUUAUUUUCAUUUUUAAGUACCCAAGUAUCCCCUCAAAGGUACGGGUUAUAACAUUCCCAACUUGUCAAAUUUCGACGAAAUUUAUUUUCUUCAAUUCGUUUAGCUUCUAAACCUUCCAACCCUCCUGGUACUUGUUGUUAAUGUACUUAAAUAUUUGUAAUCUCAAAGGUAACGUGAUUAACUUACUUUAUAUACUUUCAAAGAUGGUCUUAUUUUUUUAAUCUUACAUCAGUUUCCUUACGACGUACUUUUACAUACGAAAAUAUGGGGUGUAACAUCAUUCCCCCCUUUGGAAAAUUUGUCCUCGAAUGUUGAUUGAUGCGCUUAUCAUUACCCAACCUUCAAAAUACUUCCUUAACACAUGUUUUAACUCAUCAUUAUCUUGUUAAAGGUCCUUAAACUCUCAGACUUGUAUUGAUCUACUUAAGAUACAUUCUAACAUGAAAGUACCGGGUGUAACAUCCUUCCCUCUUAGGGAUAUUCAUCCUCGAAUGUUUAGUCUUAGAGACUUGAAAACAUUUUGCCAGAGUCUACUCUGUACACUAGACUAAAACCAACCUACACGUAGCCAGAAAAUAUACUAUACAUGCCACACAUGGCCAAUGCCUAUAAGUAGUAACACUGGUGUCACGCCCCAACCUUGGGGAGCGCGACCAAUGCUCGGCCGAGACAUCCCAGUAAAGCAAGCCUACUUAGUGCCUACCAUUCAACCAUACCCAUUAAUAAUUGAGUAUAAGUAUAAAAAGUUAAACCAAUAAAGAGAAUAGUAUGUACAACACCAGUUUUUUUUAAUUUUAUAAGGGCUUCAUUUUUCGAUUACCAAAAUAUUACAUGUUCAUAUUUUGGAAGUGGAACGUCCAACAAAUACAACAACAUCAUUGGUUUGUGAUCCCAAGUCAAAAUACAACCCACAAUAUGUCUAUGGAGUCUCUAUGUAAACAAGAGUACACUAUGAAAGUGAUGGCGACAAGGAUCCGGCUAUAUCUCAAAACACAAUGUGCAAAAUCAAAUGACAUAAGGCCUUGAAGUAGAAUAGGGCUCACCGAAUUAGCUGAGAACAGAUACACCUAUUAAGAACUCGAGCCUCCUAUUGCAGAGCCACAUGCAUCCAUUAAAGAUGCAUCUUCCAUGGAAAAAGAGACGUUAGUACAUAUGAAAUAGUAGUAUGUAAAGAUAAAUACCCUCUCAUGGAAUAGAAUUCCAACAUAAGAAGGAGAGAAUCACGAAAGCAGCAAGAAAAACCAAUAAUAUCCAAAUGCCAAGUUAAAACAUAAAUAAUUUUCAAAUAAGAAUUAACAUAUUUGAUUGGGAGAUCCUUAGUACCGACACACUACCAUGCCAAUAGAAUGGAGUCCGAUCUCUACCCAAUCAGCUAAGUCGUCUCACCCUAGAGUAUGAGGAUUGACAUAGAAACACAACACCACCAUGUGCACGACAUGGCGUCUGAUCUCUGCCCAAUCGGCUAAGCUGUAUCACCACAAUGUCGUGUGGAUCGACAUGGUCCUUGAUAUAUAUAUGAACUCAUCCCAAUCAAGGGGAAUAAUCUCAUUAUAACAACAACACGGGAACCUGUCCCUCAAUCAGCCCCUACACCGGCACGGGUAGUUUCAUGCUUGGGCAUUUAUAACCCAGCCUUCCUCGAUGACCUAACGAUACUCCCAAAACAUUUUCUAUAUAAAAUAAAUAUACUCAUAUCAUAACCUUUCAUAAGAUUUUUCAUUUCACUUGCACUUUUAGCCACACAUCACAAACCUUCAUUCUUGGCACGAUGGCCGCAUUUCACGUUCCAUACCUUCAUUCCUUUGCAUUGCCAUGGUUAAUCAUAAAGAAUUUAAAGUCAUUUAAACACUGAGAAAUUCAUAGCUUUAAAUCACAAGUACGUAAGAACCCAAAACACAUUGGAAAUAAUUACAAAUAGAGUUCAUAGUGAUUUCAAUGGAAUCAUGGAUUUAGGUCAUAAGCGGUUGAUAAAUCAAUCGUACUUGAAAUAUUUUAAACGAGAGAACAUGGAAUAAUGAGAGCAGUUAAAAUAUGACUUGGGUAGAUAAACAUUUGGUAAACCAAUCAUUUGUGGCAUUCGAUACGAUAGGAAUAGGAAUCCGAUUUUACGGAAGGAGUUUAGCCAACCUACCUCAAAUUCAUCCCUUAAUGAUACAACAAUGAUCCACUACACUAGGCAACAUCAAUCUACAAUAAAAACAUCCAAUGGGACCAAUGUUAGUAGCAAUUCCCACAAUUUAGUUCAUUUAAGAAUUUUAUCAAACACCCAGUACGCUUAAAUGUCUACAUGUCUUAACCAUAGAACUAGUUCAUCCAACUAUAACUAUUUAACAACAAUUUAUCCCACCAUCAUUCUUAAGCAAUUUAUAACUUCAAAUAUCACAUGCGUGUCUAACCAUCCACACCCAACCAACAAAAUUCUAUCAAAUAAUAACCCUUCAAUCUCUAGAAUGGCUAUGAAUUUAAAUUGGGAACUUUUGGCUUCCAAUCACAAUCCCAUAAGUUCCGUUACUUAAUUUGUACUCAUAUACUCAUAAUAGACCCAUGCAUGUAAGUCUAAGGGUGUAGGAUUACCUUUUGGAAGAAAUUUUGCAAAACCCUCCUUUGAGUUCUUGAAGAAGUUUUCUUGAACAUUUAAUGAUUUCAUGUUGUAUUGAGUUAGUUCUAGUGUGUAAAUGAUAGGAUUCACACUAAGACAAUGGGGAUUUCUUACCUUGAAGAUGGGAGGAGUUGGGGGUCUUGAGAGGGGAGGAAAGCUCCAAAAUUUGUCCAAGUGAAAUGGGAAAAAUGAACCCCCGAAAUGACUUAAAAGAAACCUCAAGCUGGGGCACACCCAGUCUGGCAAAGUGAGCUUCACUUCGCUUUCUACUGCAUGCAAGGGAAGACAGGAUCCUCACCCGGUCUGGCAAAGCGAGCCUUGCUUCGCUGUCCACAAAAAUAAUUGGGUGGUUUGACUUUAGUAAUUUGACCAUAACUUUUAGUAGGAAUGUCCAACUUAUGAACAACUUGAUGCAUUUCAAUCUAGACUCGAAGGGUUACGCUUUAGGGGCAAAAUUCAUGGAAAGUAUCUUUAUAUUUUAAGAGUUAUACCCUUUCAAAUUCAGGUGUAGUGCAAAUUUUGACAUCUUUUCCAUAUGUAUUUUCAUUUCAAAAUAAUGUGGUUCUAUCCCAUAGGUCACCUUUAGUACUCAAAAACAUUAUUUCUACUUAUCGUUGGUGCAUUAUAAGGUCUUAACUAUUUAGAAAAUUCUACCAAACCUUACAUCCUCCCCCACUUAGGAUCAUUCAUCCUAGAAUGAGGGUCAAAGUUCGCUAUAGACACUCAAUGUGACUCAACUCUUUAUUCACACCAAAAGUUCCAAAUUUGACUAACUCCCCAAAUAUCCAAAUAUUUCGGUAGAGUCACCCCUGUAUUUGGGCCUAUCCACCUAUCAGAGAGCUGUAGAAACCAAUCCUAAUAACAUAUUCAUAAGCCAAUGAUGUAACACAACAUGAAAACAACACCAACCAUAACCUCAUAGGCACUAUAUUAUCUAAAGGGGCUUUUAGCAUAACUGUACAAGUGGAACAUAAUUCAUAGAAAGUAAACUUCUAACAUUCAUUUAGAACAAAACUACUUAGUUACAAAACAAAUGAGGGUAUAUCCUUUUCAGCUCUUCCUCGGCUUUCCAGGUGGCCUUCUCAGUUUGCUGGUUUUGCCAUAGUACCUUCACGGAGGGAAUCUCUUUAUUCUAUAAUUUUCGGGCUUGCCUAUCAAGGAUGGAAAUCAGAAUCUGCUCAUAGGUCAAUUAUUCAUUAACUUCAAUAGUCUCUACUAGAACAAUGAGUGACGGGUCUCCAACUACCUUCUUCAAUAUGGACACAUGAAACACCUGGUGUAUUAAGGACAUCUUUGGAGGUAACUCCAGCUUAUAGGCCACUUGGCCAACCCUCUGCAAGAUUCUGUUCGGCCCGAUAUACCUUGGACACAAUUUCCCUUUCUUCCAAAAUCGCAUUAUACCCUUCAUGGGGGGAAUCUUCAAUAAUACCCAGUCAUCCUCUUUGAACUUCUAAUCUCUGCGACGCACAUCUGAAUAGGACUCUUUGCGACUCUAAGAAGUUUUCAACCAUUCAUUAAUGAUCUUAACCUUCUUCAUAGCCUGAUGCACAAGGUCUAGCCCUAUCAAUUCUGCAUCCCCAACUUCGAACCAACAAAUGGGAGAUCUACAUCUCCUAACAUAUAAAGUUGUACUAAGAUUUACCUGUGGGAGAUCUACAUCCCCAUCCAAUGACAGAUAUACAUCCUAACCGAACGGCGCCUUCCGUCUGUGGAUGAAAAGUUGUACUAAGAUUUACCUAUGUACCCAAACCUUGCUGGAAUUUCUGCCAAAGGUUAACAGUGAAUUAUGCUCCUCGAUCCGAGAUGAUAGAAAGAGGAGUGCCAUGCAACCUAACGAUCUCUUUGAUGUACAACUGAGCAUAGUGUUCUGAUGUGUCGGUAGUUUUAGAAGGCAAGAAGUUUUCUGAUUUCGUGAAUCGAUCCACAGUCACCCAAAUUGAGUCGAACUUGUGAGACGUGCGAGGUAGACCUACCACAAAGUCCAUAUUGAUAAUCUACCACUUUCACAUUGGAAUUUCUACAUUUGCGCCAACCCAUCGGGCCUUUGGUGCUCAGCCUUCACUUGCUGACAGUUUGGAUAUCUUGCCAUAAAGUUCGCUGCAUCCCUCUUCAUGUCAUUCCACCAGCAGACCUCCUUGAGGUCAUGAUACAUCUUUGUAGAUCUUGGAUGUAGGUAUACCUGGAACUAUGAGCAUUGAUCAUGAUUCUCUCCCGGAGACCAUCAACAUUCGAAACACACAAUUGCCCUUGGUACCUUAGCGUGCUAUCAUUCGUGCCAAUAGAAAAAGUCAUGUUUUUUUGUUUAUGAAUUCCAUCCUUCAACUGCACCAAUAACGAAUCAUCAUAUUGUUUCUCUUUGUCUACUACAAGUGAUAGUUCAGCCCUAUUUUUCAUAAUCACCACACCUUCACUAGAGUUCGCAAGCCAAACUCCCAAACUAGCCAACCUGUGAACCUCCUUGGCUAACGGCCUUUGGUAUGCUUCCAAGUGGGCCAAACUACCCAUAGAUUUCCGGUUAAGAGCAUCCUCCACAACAUUAGCCUUCCCCGGAUGAUAUAGAAUAUCGAUGUCAUAGUCCUUGAGUAAUUCAAGCCAUCUUCUCCACUCAGAUUCAAUUCCUUGUGCUUGAAAAUAUAUUGAAGGAUCUUAUUAUCAGUGAAUAUGUCAGCAUGGACCCCAUACAAAUAAUGAAGCCAAAUCUUCAAUGCAAAUACAACCAUCGCAAGCUCUAAGUCAUGUGUUGGAUAAUUCUUCUCAUGAUUCUUGAGUUGCCUAGAAGCAUAAGCGAUCACUUUACCAUGUUGUAUCAAUACACACCCAAGCCCGAUCCUUGAAGCAUCACAAUAUAUCACAAACCCAUCCGUACCCUCCGGGAAGAUCAACACUGGUGCCGUAGUCAAUCUUGACUUCAACUCUUGGAAGCUCUUUUCACAAGCAUCUGACCUUUGGAACUUUAAUGCCUUUUGCGUCAAUUUAGUCAACGGAGAGGAAAAAGUAGAGAACCCCUCUACAAACCUCAUGUAAUACCCAGCUAAGUUCAAUAAAUCUAGAAUCUCCACUGGAGUUGUAGGUCUAUGCCCAUUCUUCGCAGCUGCAAUCUUCUGAGGAUCAACCUUGAUUCCCUCACUAGAGACGAGAUGACCCAAAAAGUGACAGAUUCAAGCCUAAAUUCACACUUUGAAAACUUUGCAUACAACUUGUGCUGAUUCAGAAUUUGCAAAACUGCUCCAAGAUGAUCUCCAUGGUCCUCCCGACUUCCCAAAUACAUAAGGAUGUCGUCAAUGAACACUAUCACAAAAAGUAAAGGAAUGGCUUGAAGACUCGAUUCAUAAGAUCCAUGAAAGUUGUUGGGGCAUUUGUUAGCCCGAAAUAAAUUACCAAAAAUUCAAAGUGUCCAUACCGGGUCCUGAAUGUUGUUUACGGAAUAUCCCACUCCCUAAUCUUCAGUUGAUGAUACCCCGAUCUUAGGUCAAUCUUGGAUAAGUACUUAGCAUCUUGUAACUGAUCAAACAAGUCAUCUAUCCUUGGCAGUGGGUACUUAUUCUUGAUUGUGACCUUGUUGUGCUACCGAUAGUCAAUCCACAUCCUCAAUGACCCAUCCUUCUUCCUUACAAAGAGAACCGGUGUGCCCCAAGGAAACACACUCGGCCAGAUGAAACCCUUUUCUAGAAAAUAUUUCAAUUCCUCCUUCAGUCCUUCAAUUCUGCCGUGCCAUUCUGUAUGGUAGAAUUGAUAUUGGCUGCAUGCCUGGCAGCACAUCGAUCCCAAAGUCAAUCUCCCUUUCUGAUGGGAUCCCAGGUAGCUCAUCAGGAAAGACCUCUGGGAAUUCAUUCACAAUUGGCACAAACUCAAGUGUAGGUACCUCAACAUCGAAGUCCGUGACUCAGAACAAAUGGUACAUACACCCCUUGUUGAUCAUCUUCGCGGCCUUGAGGUAAGAAAUAAACCUACCCUUCGGCACCAUAUCAUCCCCCUUCCACUCAAUGACUGGCUCGUUCGAAAAUUCAAACCUAACGGUUCUGGUUCAACAAUCAAGCUUUGCAAAAUAUGGGUGAACCCAGUCCAUCCCCAUUGUCAUAUCAAAAUCUACAAUCACCAAUUCAAUAAGAUCGGCGUGGUUUUUCAACCAUGAACUGUGAUAAUACAGUCCCUAUAAACCCGAGUGGCCACAAUAUACUCACCAACUGGGGUAGAUACGGAGAACGACUUAGGAAGCUAUUCUGGUUUAUCUCGAAUUUCAUAGAAACAUAAGGAAUGACAUAUGACAAAGUGGAACCAAGAUCUAUAAGAGCAUAUACAUCAUGAGAUUGGAAAGUCAAUAUACCCGUGACAACAUCUGGAGAAGUCUCUGAACUUUGGCGACCCCUCAAAGCAUAGAACCUGCUGGGUCCUCCCAAACUCUGUGCACCACCCCUAGCUGUGCCAUGCCUUGCGGGUGUCGAAGCACCUCUAGCUAGAGGAGGUGCUGUAAAAGUGGUGGCUGCUGAACUGGCUUGGCUGCACUAUACCCCUACCAGUGCUCUGAUGUGACGAAUGGCAAUUUCUCUGAAUAUGACCUCUAAGGCUGCAUCCGUAGCAUACAUGAUUGUCCAUAUAGCACACUCUUGAGUGCAUCUUUCCACACAUAUGGCAUGUGGGCCUCUGUUGCGGCUGGAAUCUCCUACUGGACUGACCCUGCUGAUAAGAUCCAUUUUUACCCUGACUAGGCCUGAAGCGAGUCCACUGCUGUUGAGUUAGCCAUGAUGGCAUGGGACUGGCUGAAGACUGAGCAAAAGAUUGUGUCGGUGCAGAUGACCCUCCCCUGAACAUCACCUUCCCACCACCACCACUACUGAAAGAACCACCAAAGUUACUCGUGGAUCGAGCCUUCUUAUUACCAUCUCGCUCCAUCCCGGCCUUCAAUUUUCGAGUCUCUAAGGCUUGAUCAAAUGCCUCCAUAUUCACGUAGUCCAUGUCGGAAUUCAAGGCGACAGUAAAGGCCUCAUUGAUAACCCAGGGCUAAGGCCUUUCACAAACCGGGGCGCAAAUUUCAUAUGGUAAUCCCACAUGCUUAUAUUACCUUGCUUCAAGUUCUCAAACUCUACGGCACGGGCUACACUACUCUCAGCAUGCAAGAAAUGGUUAAUGAAAGCAUCCGCAAACUCCCCCACUUUGUCGGAGGGCUACCCUCUUCACGGGACUCCUCCCACAACUCAAACCAUGAAUAGGCCACCUCCUUAAGUCGAUAAGAGGCUAACUCCACUGCUUCUAUUUCUGUGGCACACAUUACGCGGAGAGUCUUAUGCAUAUCAUCAAUAAAGUCCUGGGGGUCAUCCUCGGGAUUAGUACCCUUGAAAAUCGGAGGAUCCAACUGAAGAAAUCGUUUCACCCUGAAACUAGCUGGAUCCCCUUACUGGCUAGAGGAGGUAGAUGUUCCAUUCAAUCUCUGAGCUUGGGAAGCCACUAUCUGAGUCAACAUCUGAUGGCACCCCUAAUAGGUCCCCAUCAGAAACACUAAGACCGGGAGUUGGGGCUGGAGGUGGGACCGGAAUAUCAGCUGGAGGAGGAAUCGUUGCAUUUUCAGCAGGAGUAGUAGAAUCAGGAAGGGUUGUAGUUAAGGGCAUAUCUUCACCCCUUGGGUGCUCACCUGUAACAUCAAGUAUCUCAUUAACUGCCACACCUGGGGUAUCAUUGGCCCUUUCCACUCAUUGCCUUCUUCUUAGGUGCCAUACACUGACCAUUAGAACAAUGCACGAGUUAAAUAGGUCGAACAGUCUUACAGUCAACUAUAUCGCAUGAUCUAGAAUAUCAAAGAUGUGUGACAUUCCUAAAUGCCCAAAUAGCCUCCUAAUUAUAGAUGUGGUCGGCAACACACCGAUAAGAAGGACUCUACUAUACACGGUUCCAAGACAUCCGCGGACACUAUAAAACCUUAGGCUCUGAUUCCAAGAUUUUCACGCCCCGACCUUGGGGAGCACGACCGGUGCUCGACCGAGACAUCUCAGUCAAGCAAGCCUACUUAGCGCCUACCAUUCAACCAUACCCAUGGAUAAUUGAGGAUAAGUAUAAAGAGUUAAACCAAUCAAGAGAAUAGUAUGUACAACACCAAAUUUGUUUUAUAAGAUCUUCAUUUUAUGAUUACCAAAAUAUUACAUGUUCAUAGUUUAGAAGUGGAACAUUCAACAAAUACAACAACAUCAUUGGUUUGUGAUCCCAAGUCAAAAUACAACCCACAAUACGUUUACGGAGCCUCUAAGUAAACAAGAGUACACUAUGAAGGUGCUGGUGACAAGGCAACAGCUAUACCCCAAAAAAUAAUGUGCAAAAUCAAAUGACAUAAAUUCUUGAAGUAGAAUAGGGCUCACCGAAUUAGCUGAGAAGAGAUACACCUAUUAAGAUUUCGAGCCACCUACAUACAUUAAAGAUGCAGCGUCCAUGGCAAAAGAGACGUUAAUACAUAUGGAAUAGUACUAGUAUGUAAAGCUAAAUACCCUCUCAUGGAAUAGAAUUCCAACAUAAGAAGGAGAGAAUCACGAAAGCAACAAGAAAAAUCAAUAAUAUCCAAAUGCCAAGUUAAAACAUAAAUAAUUUUCAAAUAAGAAUUAACAUAUUUGGUUGGGAGAUCCUUAAUACUGAAACCCCACCAUGCCAAGGGAAUGGAGUCCGAUAUCUGCCCGAUCGGCUAAGCCAUCUCACCCCAAAGUAUGAUGAUUGACAUAGAAACACAACACCACCAUGUGCGCGACAUGCGUCCGAUCUCUGCCCGAUCGGCUAAGCUGUCUCACCACAAUGCCGUGUGGAUCGACAUUGUCCUUGCUAGCUAUCAACUCAUCCCAAUCAAGGGUAAUAAUCUCAAUAUUACAACAAUACAAGAACCUAUCCCUUAAUCAUCCCUUACAUCGACACGUGUACUUUCAAGUUUGGGCAUUUAUGACCCAACCUUCCUCGGCGACCUAACGAUACUCCCAAAACAUUUUUUGUAUAAAAUAGAUAUACUCAUAUCAUAACCUUUCAUAAUAUCUUUCAUUUCAUUGGCAUUUUUGGCCACACAUCACAACCUUCAUUCUUGGAACGAUGGUCGCAUUUCAUGUUCCAUACCUUCAUUCCCUUGUAUUGGCAUGGAUAAUAAUAAAGCAUUUAAAAUCAUUUAAAACAUAGAUAAAUUCAUAGCCUUAACUCACAAGAACAUAAGAACCCAAAACAUAUUGGAAAUAAUUACAAAAGGAGAUCAUAGUGAUUUCAGUGGAAUCAUAGAUUGAGCUCAUAAGCGGUUGAUAAAUCAAUCGUACUUGAAAUAUUUUAAAAGAGAGAACAUGGAAUGAUGAGAGCUGUUAAAACAUGACUUGGUUAGAUAAAUAUUUGGUACAUCAAUCAUUUGUGGUAUUUGAUACAAUAAGAAUAGGAACUCGGACAAACCAUACUUGGAACUUUAUACAUAGAUCAUGGAAUUCGAUUCUACAGAAGGAGUAUAGCCAACGUAUCUCAGAUUCAUCCCUUAAUGAUACUACAAUGAUCCACUACACUAGGCAACUUCAAUCUACAAUAACAACAUCCAAUGGGACCAAUGUUAGUAGCAAUUCCCACAAUUUAGGCCAUUUAGACAUUUUAUCAAACACCUAGUAGGCAUAAAUCUCUACAUGUCUUAACCAUAGAACUAGUUCAUCCAACUACCACCAUUUACCAACAAUAUAUCCCACCAUCAUUCUUAAGCAGUUUAUAACUUCCAACAUCACAUGCGUGCCCAACCAUCCACACCCAAGCAAAAAGAUUCCAUCAAAUAAUCACCCUUCAAUCUCUACAAUGGCUAUGAAUUUAAAUUUGGAACUUACGGCUUCCAAUCACAAUCCCAUAAGUUCCAUUACUUAAUUUUUAUGCAUAUACUCAUAAUAGACCCAUGCAUGUAAGUCUAAGGGUGUAGGAUUACCUUUUGGAAGAAAUCUUGCAAAACCCUCCUUUGCGUUCUUGAAGAAGUUUUCUUGAAAAUCUAAUGAUUUCAUGUUGGAUUGAGUUAGUUCUAGUGUGGAAAUGAUAGGAUUCAAACCAAGACAAUGGGGAUUACUUACCUUGAAUAUGGGAGGAUUUGGGAGUCUUAAGAGAGUGGUAGAAAUCUCCAAAAUUCAUCCAAGUGAAAUGGGGAAAAUAAGCCCCCGAAAUGACUUGAAAGAAACCGCAAGCCGGGGCGCGCCCAGUCUGGCAAAGCGAGCCUUGCUUCACUGUCCACCAAAAUAACUAGGUGGUUUGACUUUAGUAAUUUGAUUAUUACCUUUGGUAGGCAUGUCCAAAUAACAACGACUUGAUGCGUUUGAUACUAGACUUGAAGGGAUACACAUUAGAGGCAAAAUUCAUUGAAAAUAUCUUUAUAAUAUAAGAGUUAUACCCGUUCAAACUCAGGUGUAGUGCAAAUUUUGACAUCUUUUCCACUUAAUAUAUCCAACUCAUUCCAAGAAACUUCUUCCCACUUACAAACCUCCUUAAUAUCUUCCGAAACACUUUCCAUAUGUAUUUUCAUGUCAAAAUAAUGUGGUUCUAUCCCAUAGGUCUCCUUUAGUACUCAAAAACAUUAUUCCCAAUUAUCGUUGGUGCACUAUAAGAUCUUAAAUUAUUAGAAAAUUCUACAGGGACUUAUAACUUGGCCUCACACGCCCGUCAAUCAUAAGUAUUGCAAGUUACAAAAUAAGAGGUCACCUCAUGACCUACUGGUCUGAGUCGGGCUAUGCUGUAAUAUCCCAUAUCGAGCUAUAUCUUUAGUUUGAAAUAUGUAUGGGUAUUUAGACUUUGUUUCUUCCUCCGCUUCCCACAUUAUCUCUUCCACGUUCUUGAUUCUCUGUAAAAUGUUCACGGAGGCUACCUCCUUAUUUCGUAGCUUGCUAAUUUGUUGGUCUAGGAUGGAAACUGGAACUUCCUCGUAAGAUAAGUACUUCGUGAUCUGUACAUCAUCAGUGGGCACUAGUCGGGUAGAAUCCCCAAUGCACUUCUGUAGCAUAGAUACGUGGAAAAUCGGAUGAGCAAACUCCAAUUCUGAGGAAAAAUCUAACUCAUAAUCUACUCAGCCCACUCUUCGAAUAAAUCUAUAAUGCCCAAUAUACCAUGGGCUAAGCUUGCCUUUCUUACCAUACCUCAUCACACCCUUCAUGGGAGACACCUUUAAGAAUACCCAGUCAUCAACCCCAAACUCUAAGUCUCGUUGCUGCACGUCAGAAUAUGACUUCUGACGACUCUGAGCUGUCAAUAGUUGCUCCUGGAUAAGCUUUACCUUCUCUAUGGCCUUCUAAACCAAGUCUGGCCCAUGUAACCCAGAUUCUCCAACAUCAAACCACCCUAUAGGAUAUAUGCACUUACGCCCAUANNNNNNNNNNNNNNNNNNNNNNNNNACGACCCCGGUAUCUGAGAACCCCAUCUUCCUUGAGCUCUAACAACAACUUCUUCUGCUGUGGAACUCUCUCUCUCAACUCGACCAACUCUGGGUCCUCGUACUACCUUUCCUUUACUUCAACUAUGAGAGAUGAUUUUGCAGUGUUCUGGAGUACAACUCCACCAUCGUCAGAAUCUAUUAACCGAACCCCCAAACAAGCUAAUUGAUGAAGCUCUCUAGCUAAUUUUCUUUUCUCGGCCUCUACAUGUGCUAAGCUACCCAUAGAUCGGCGACUUAAGGCCUAAACUACAACAUUAUCUUUCACUGGAUGGUAGAGAAUGUUAACGUCAUAAUCUUUCAAUAAGUCUAACCAUCGCCUCAAUCGGAAAUUCAACUCCUUUUGCUUCUAGAUAUAUUGCAGGUUUUAAUGAUUUGUAAAUGUGUCCACAUGAACACCAUAUAAAUAGUGUCGCCAUAUCUUAAGUGCAUAGAUAACCGUAGCUAACUCGAGGUCGUGGGUAGGAUAAUUCCUCUUUUUCUUCCUCAACUUCCUGGAAGCAUACGCAAUUACCUUCCCAUGUUUCAUCCGGACACAUCCUAACCCGACACCUGAGGCAUCGCAAUACACGACAUAACCCUCUGGACCCUCUAGAAGUGUUAGAACUGGCACUGAGGUCAACCUGUUCUUAAGCUCUUGGAAACUCCGCUCGCAAGCCUCUGUCGACUGAAACUUAGUUUCUUUCUGAGUCAGCUUCGUCAAUGGUGCCGAAAUGAAAGAAAAACCCUUUACAAACCUCCGGUAGCAGCCCACUAAGCCUAGAAAGCUACGGACCUCUGUCGGAGUAGUUGAUCUAGGUCAGGAUUUCACGGCCUCAAUCUUCUGAGUGUUUACCUUUAUACCUUUAUCAAAUACAAUAUACUCCAAGAAUGCUACAGACUUCAACUAGAACUCACAUUUAGAAAACAUAUCAUACAACUUAUGAUCCCGAAUGGUUUGGAGUACAGCUAGCAGGUGGUUUGCAUGCUCCUCCUCUAAACGUGAAUAAACCAGAAUAUCAUCAAUAAAUACUAUCACGAAAAGAUCGAAAAUGGAUGAAAUACGCUAUUCAUCAAGUCCAUAAAUACGACGGGUGCAUUUGUCAACCCGAAGGACAUGACAAGGAACUUGAAGUAGCCAUAUCGGGACCUGAAGGUAGUUUUCAAAAUAUCUUUCUCCCGAACUCCGACCUGAUGGUACCCUGACCUCAAAUCUAUCUUUGAAAAGCACCUAGCCCCUUGCAACUGAUCAAACAAGUUAUUACUCCUUGGAAGUGGAUACUUAUUCUUAAUACUAACCUUGUUCAGCUACCUACAAACAAUACACAUCCUCAAAGAUCCGUCUUUCUUCUACACAAAUAGUACCGGUGCACCCCAUGUGAGGUACUGGGUCUGAUGAAACCUUUCUCCAGCAAAUCUUUUAGCUGCUCCUUCAAUUCCUUCAAUUCAACAUGAGCCAUUCUAUGCGGAGGUAUGGAUAUUGGUUGAGUUUUCAAAAGCAAAUUGAUGCUAAAAUCAAUCUCUCGCUCUGACAGAAAACCUAGAAGCUCAUCUAGAAACACAUCUGCAUACUCUCUGACUAAUGAAAUCGACUAAAGUGUUGGUAUCUCAGCAUCUGCAUCUCUAACUCGCACAAUAUGAUAAAUGCACCCUUUUGUGAUCAUUUUCCUCAUAUUCAAAAAGGAAAUAAACCUACCUUUAGGUGUCGCUGCAUUACCGACCCAUUCAAGGACUGGCUUACCCGAAAAAUGAAAUCUGGCAGCCUUUGCUCGGCAAUCAACUGUGGCAUAGCAAGCUUCCAACCAGUCCACGCCCAUGAUAACAUCGAAAUCCAGCAUUACUAGCUCAAUUAGGUCGGUUGAGGUCUGAUGAUUACAAACUGUCACCGUACAACCUCGGUAAACCCGUCUAGCAAUAAUCGGUUCUUCGACCGGUGUAGAUAUCACAAAAGGAUCACUUAGUAUUUCAGGAACUAUACCAAACUUCCCCACGACAAAACAUGGUAAUAUACGAUAAAGGUAAUAUCCUAGAUCUAUGAAGGCAUAGGCAUCGUGAGAGCAAAUGGUCAAUAUACAUGUCACAAAGUCUGGUGAAUUAUCCUGGUCAUGUCGACCCGCUAAAGAAUAGAUCUGGUUCUGAUUACCACUUGAAUUGGAACCUCUACCUCUGCCUCGACCUCUACCAACCAAAGACUGAAACUCGCACCCUGAAGGAUGAACGAACAUAGAUGAUCUUGCUACUGAAUUUGUUGGUUGUGCCAAACCCCCAGAAUAUCUACUUGGGCAAUCUAGCAUCAUAUUCCCCGGACGCCCACAUAUAACAAGCGUCGGAACCUACUCAGCAUUGGCCUAUGUUUCCUCUACCACAUAUGUCACACUGCGGUGGAAAUGACCAUGUUUUCCCUGAACCUCACUGUCGCUGCAACCCUGACGCCCGUGAGCUCUCACCUGGUCCUGACUUAGCAUAUCGGUCAAAAUCUGUAACCCUGUGAGUGAGGUGGUGGAGGCCUAAGUGGCCAUCCAAAAUACUGGGGCCUAUUACUACCCUGAGACUGAUAUCAUCCUAUUACGCAGCCCUUGCUUACUCCUCUUGUACCCUGCUACAGACGCCUGACUUUUCUAUCUAGGCGAAUGCCUGAAUUCAGGAGAUAUCCAUACUAUCCCAUAAUGCAGCUGCAGCACAUGACUCGGUCAACUCUCGGGCCAACCCUGCUAUAAACCUGUGGAUCUUGUCCCACAUAGUAGCAACUAUGGAUGGAGCACAUCUGGCCAAUGAGUCAAAACAGAGACUAUACUCUCGAAUGCUCAUAUUGCACUGCUUAAGGGCUAGAAACUUAUAGACUCGAGCCUGUCGGAUCUGCCGCGAUAAGUACUGGUCAAGGAAGGCAUUUGAAAGAUUCUCCCAAAUAGCUGGAGGGGCAUCACGUCCCCUGGACCUCUCCCAUCCCUCGUACUAAAGGACGGUUAUACCUCGGAGUCAAAAAGCUGCCACCUCAACUGCCUCUUUCUCCGUGGCAUGCAUAACCCAAAAUUUGAGAAGGACGUGCACAAUAGGCUAGGUAGCUUACUUCAGCAGAUGGUUAUACCAGAGUGGAAGUUGGAGCGUAUCACUAUUGUCACGCCCCAAACCUGGGGAGGUGAGACCGGCACCCGAUGCCUCACUUGACAUAGCGUACCAACCAGAGACUGAGGGACUCUAAACAUAAAAUGUGAUACUUUAGCCGCAGGGCCACAUUGUAGGAAAAUUUAUGAAACAAAAUAUAAAACUGAAUGGCGACUAGCUCCAACUGAACAUCAGUAUAAAGCUUAGCCGGCAAGGCCAUCAUAACUACUACAACUGACAAACCAAAAAAUAAAAUAUACAUACAAGGCCUACGAGGCCAACAUACUGCACUAAUUAACAGGAUAUGUCUACAAGACUCUACUAAUGGUUGUGCUGUGGUCGGAACAUGGCCCCGACCUACCCAUGCAAUAUAUAUAUAUAUAUAUAUAUAUAUAUAUAUAUAUACACACACACAUACACACACAUAAUAUGUACUCAAAACCCUAGACCCGGUAACUCCGAAUGACGUGGAGCUUACCGAUCGAGCUGAACUCGGACAACACCUACUGAGGAGGUCUACCCGCAUGUCUAUUUGAGCCUGCAGGCAUGAAAUGUAGUGUCCCUAGAGAAGGGAUGUUAGUACGAAAUAAUGUAUCGAGUAUGUAAGGCAAUAGAAUAACUGAAAGCUUAUUGAACUGAUAAUAUAAUAACUAGUAACUAUGAGUCAAAGAUGAUCUGAAGAUAUACUUAUCUACUGAUACUGAUUGAAGUCUUUCAAUAUAGUAAGUAAAAUAGAUGUCCGACCCUAUAUGGCUCGGUACAUGUAACUGCUCGGCUAUAGUAGGCUCGCUCAUAGGUGCUCUAUACUAGGCUCGGUAACUCGGUCAUUCUAGGCUCGCUCAUAGGUGCCCGACCACAGCAGGCUCGAUAUAUAACUUACCAUCUGAUCGGAGGUUGCCCAAUAGGGGCCUGCCCAUAGAUUAUAAUUCGGUGGUGGUGAAAAUACUGCAAUACUACAAAUAUAUAUAUAUAUAUAUAUAUAGAUAUAUAGACCCUCUGCUCUUUUGACUGAAAGAAGAGUAGACUUAACUGAAUAUAAAGUCCCAAAAAGGGAGAUACUUUAACUUAUGAGAGUAGGAUAAUGUAGAUGAAUUCAGGAGUAUGAACUUCUCGUUAUGUCUUGUUAUCAAACACAUGUAGUCCAAUCCGACUCCGUAUCGAUGUUUAAAACGUAAAAAUUCACUUUAGAAAAGUUUUGACAAAACCGCAAUUUCUCUUGUUAAAUCCAAUGUUUUGAUGUUAAAUCUAGUGAUGGAUUCAUGUAAAUCUCAUAGAUAUAUGUUAGAAUCACUUACCCCAAGCUUGUAGAUGAAGGUCUAAGUUGAAACCCUUCAAACGCGAACUCCCAAGUCUCUAAAGUGGUGAAGAAUGAAAUAAAAGUCCAAAUAUCCUGUCUAUAUAGUACAAGAUCUGAUCUCCUAUAGUGCUGACCGCACAUUUUUUUGUGUGGUCCACGCUUCAAAGUUUUGUGGCCGCAAUCCAUAUUGUGCGGCCGCACUUCAGCAGCAACACUACAAUCUUCAGUAAACUGACCAUAACUUUCUGACAUAAAUUUUCAAAUGAUGAACGGUUUAAUUUUCUCGAAACUAGACUCAAAUAACAACAAAAUACAUUUUUGAACCAUCUCCAAAUUCCUUAUAGAUUGGAAGACAUAAGAUCCCGAAAUCGGACCAACAAACCUGCAGAUUUCCUGUUGCGGCCCUCAGUGUGGUCCGCACUUUGACCAAUGCCUCCGUACUCUCGUGUUUGUGGCCGCACUUGAGGCUUUGCCUCAGCACUCCAAAAGUUCCCUCAGCACUCCAAAAAGUGCCCUCCGCACUUCUACAUCUCCAGGACAUCAUCAAAGUGCCGAAAUACCAAAACUUAUUAAAAACUCACCCGAACCUCUUAGGACCCCGUCCAAACAUACUAAUAAGUCCCAUAACAUAACAUAAACCUACUUGAGGUCUCAAAUCGCACAUAAAAAUAUUAAAAUCAUGAAUCACACCUCAAAUCGAACUUAAUGACCGUUUGAGCUUUUAACUUCCAAAAUUCGUGCCGAACCAUAUCAAAUCAACUCGGAAUGAACUCAAAUUUUGCACACAAGUUCCAAAUGACAUAACGAAGCUAUUCCAUUUUCCGGAACCACAAUCUGAACCCAAUAUCAUCAAAGUCGACUCCCCGUCAAACUUAUGAACAUUCCAAACCUUCAAAUUUUCAACUUUCGCCAAUUAGUGCCGAAACCUUCUAGAAACAUCCAAAUGCAAAUCCGGGCAUACGACCAAGUUUAAAAUCACCAUUAAGACCUAACGGAACCAUCAAAACUCCGAUCCAUGUCAAAUACACAAAAGUCAAACUUGGUCAACUCUUUUAACUUAAAGCUUCUAAGAUGAGAAUCAUUCUUCCAAAUAAAUUCCGAAUCACCCAAAAUCAAAAAUCGACAAUACACACAAGUCAUAAUACCUCAUACGAAGCUACUCAUGCCCUCAAACCAUCGAAUGAAGUGCAAAUUCUCAAAACGAUCUGUCGGAUCAUUACAAUGCCGCCGUUAGUCAAGUCCACACGUAAACCUCCAAUUUAAAGAUUCCUUUUUAACUUUUUAAAAAUAGAAGUUUCCUUAAGUACACCGAAUAAAGUGAAAUGUCAUGCAACCAAACAUACUUCUUUCUCGAAAAUAUCAAGAGUGAAUAAUACAUAAACCACGGUGAUAAUAAUAUAAGUACAACAAUGCAUAAAUGCUAGAAGCCCCCAAAACCCGGUGCCACAAGUACAUGAGUAAUCUAGGGAAUAUACAAAACUACUACGACUAUUGUCCGAAGUAAAAUAGACAGAAACAGUAAACAAGGUAGAGGGAGACUCCGGUGCUGCAGAUCGAAACAAGGCAAGUAGUUCACCACUAAGUCUCCCUAAAAGUGCGGCUACGAGCCCGUGAGACCACUGGUAGUAUCUGUUUCAGUACCUGCACAUUCAGUGCAGAAGUGUAGCAUGAGUUUGUAAAAUAACGCGUACCCAGUAAGUAUCUAGUCUAACCUCGAAGAAGUAGUGAUGAGGGGUCGACUUGAAACUUACUAGUGGUCAAACAAUAAUAGAAGGCAUAAAGUAGACAUGGAGGAUAUACAAUAAGUAACGAUGAAAUAGAUAAAACAUCAAUAGUAAAUUUCCAACAAGAAUCUAUAUCAACUCACUAAAAUGUCAUAACCGGCCACGAAUGCGCUAAUUCAACUAUUACCAAAACCAAAUCCUGUUACAACCCAUAUUCGCGUACAUUAAAUCACGCCGUAUGUUAGUCAUUGUAAGUCCGAGAAGAGACUAUCAUUGAGAUGAUAAGAAGUUAAUCAUAUUGGUCUUAAAUGAUACAAGGGUGUAUAAGAGUGGUUAACAAGUAUGAGAAGUUAGAAGUAAAACGAAUCAAGGAUGUUGUAACCCAUAUUUUCGAGUAAAACUAGAGGUGCUUAAUAUGAUAAGGAGGUCGUGUUUUAAGGUAUUUUAAUCAUAUAACAUUCGUAUCAUAAGUCUUGAAGUCAAGCGAGUUAUGAAACAAAAGUCAACAAAAGUUGUCUAACUUACGUUCAUAAUUUUACUUAAAAGUUAGGUCUAAUGUUACUAAGAUUUUCUCUCAAUGUACUUGAAAUUAUGGGGUGAUCCACCUACAAAAUUGAAUAUCUAUGAGUCUAGUUUCCAACACAUUAAAUUGUUUGUCGAUACAAAAUCGGAGUAGAGAGAUAUUUGCGUUUCCGCGAGACUGCACAAAUAGCUCUCUAUGGGACCCACAUAGGCGGUUGAGAUAUAUUGAUAUAUAUGAGAUGCCUAAAGCCCAUUUUAACUCAUUAGUUUUCACUCUAUUCAGACUUCAGACACCUAAAAGCUUUCUCUCAAGGUUCUCUCAUGAUCCAAGACCCAAACAAAGGGCAAACAAUACAAAUCAAGUGUCGGGAAUCCCGUGGCGCUAGUGAGUUUCUUGUUCUUCUUGUUGUUGCUGAUUUUUGUGUGGUUCAAGAUCGCGUGGGAGGUUGUUUUAAGUGGUUUAAGUUCUGUAAAAUACUCUCUCAAUUUCUUAAUAUCAAACCUAGGUGAUUUCAAGUCUUCCAAAGUGAUUCUAGUGCCGAAAAACAUGAAUUAAUUGCUAGUUUCGCUUCCUUGUUCGUGUGGUGGCAUUGGAAGGAUAUUUCGUGGUGAAGUAAGGUAAAAUUGGAAUUCUUAUGUCUUUUUGAAUGUAACGGUCUUCUUACUCUAUAUGUAUUUAAGCUUAUCUAAGUUGUGGCUAAGUCAUUGAAGCUAGAACUUGUGAGAUAUCGAUCGAAAGGCUUGUUAGUAAUGUUGCUGAUUGGUGGACUGUUUUGGGAGGCUUAAUAUGAUUAUUAUUGAUGUUGUUUAGGAUGUUGGGUGAUUUUUUUAACUUGUGGGAAGUCCUAUAAAUAGGGGAGCUGCUGUCCGUUUCAUCUUAAGAUAGGUUGCGGUUGAUAUAUAAUAGUUACGACGCUUAAACGAUAAUGAUAGUAUCAUUUCUCUUAUUGUAGACUAAGGAGCCGUGAGAUUUGCAUAGCUUAAGGUUGUACACUAUAUACAAGGUAUGUGAGGCUAUCCCUUUCCCUUCUUUUGCACGACUUUGAUAGUACAUAGUGUAAUGAACGAGCUUCCAAAGAUACUCCACUCUUAGAAGAUAGCAGUAUUUACAUUGUUUCCCUUCUUAUGGAACGAUUGAUGUUGAUGUUGCUUCUCUUAUUCUUAUAUUAUCAAUGUUGUUGGUAUUUCCUGAUUCUUGUAAGAUUUACGAAGAAGAGUUAGUCCAAAUAACGUGUACGGGGGUUACCGACCUUACAUUAUUCCGAAAAGUUCAGAAUGUGAUUCCCAUGCGUCCAUCAUGCAUUAUAUAUAUGUACCUAUUUUACUCUACCGAGCCGCGCUAUAGUCGGUUGGGUACGAUACCUAUUGUGCAACCACUGAUCAAUUGGGUUUUACCGAGCUCCACGUGGCCAGGUACAAUUCUAUCGAGCCUCAUAAUGGCGGGGUACAUUUUUACCGAGCCUACUACGACCAGGUAUGAUAUGAUGAUGCCCUCAGAGGCACUAAGAUGUUAAAUGUUGUAUAUUCUCUAUCCCUGUUUACAUCACUAUCCUUAUUUAUGCUUUCCUGCCUUACAUACUUAGUACUUUAUUAGCGAGAUACCUUCUCCGGACUUGCCGUGGUCUUGGUAUGAAUUUUUGUUAUAGACAUUAUGGGUAUGUCGGGGCCCUGUUCUGGCAAUGUUGCAACACUUAUGUUCCUUUAGAGGCUCAUAUACAAGUGUCGUCUCAUGUAUAGUUUGGACAGCCUUGUCGAUUGAUUUUUGUUGUAUAGUCUCUCAUGGUAGCUUGUCGGCUCCUACCUUAUAUAUAGCUUCAUGAUAGCCUUGUCAGCCCAUGUUAUAUAUGUUCAUUCCAUUAUCUGUCAUUGUUGGUUGUUUAUGGUUCAUGUCUACCAUUUAUGUUGAUCUUGUCGGCAUUUAUAGAUAAUAAGAAAGGUUAGAUAAAAUGUAUAUUGAUGCUCAGCAGGUAUGGCUCGGAUGCCAGUCAUGGACCUACUGUUUGGAUCAUGAAAAAUCAAAUCUCAAGUAUUAAGCACGAGCCUGUCAAGGCUAACGACCCGAUCCCGUAGGAAUAGUGAUACUCAGUACUAUCAAGGCGAAUGACCCGAUCCCAUAAGAGAAAUUUACAACACUACCAAGGCGAAUGGCCCGAUCCCAUAAGAGUAGAGAAAUUACCUCGCUCGUGGAGAUGCGGGGACGGAUUUGUGUGCCCAACGUGGAUGGGUUGUGUGAGUUGAUUCUUGAGGAGGCCCACAGUUCGCGGUAUUCUAUUCAUCCGGGUGCCGCUAAGAUGUAUCAAGAUUUGAGGCAGCAUUAUUGGUGAAGAAGAAUGAACAAAGAUAUAGUAGAGUUUGUGGAUCGAUGUUUGAACUACAACAAGUGAAGUACGAGCAUCAGAGGCCGCGCGGUUUGCUUAUGAGACUUGAGAUUCCAGAGUUGAGGUAGGAGUGUAUCACCAUGGAUUUCGUUUUUAGGCUCCCACGAACCUUGAAUAAAUUCGACGCAAUGUGGGUUAUUAUGGAUAGACUGACUAAGUCUGCACACUUCAUUCCAGUUGUGCCUACCUACUCUUCAGAGCAGCUGGCUCAGAUAUAUACCCGUGAGAUUGUUCGUCUUCAUGGAGUGCCGGUGUCCAAAAUCUCUGAUCGAGGGAGGCAAUUCACAUCGCAUUUUUGGAGAUCUGUGCAGUACAAGUUAGGCACACGGGUUGAGUUGAGUACAACAUUCCAUCCCCAGAUGGACGGGUAGUCCGAGCGAACCAUUCAGAUCUUGGAGGAUAUGCAAUGUGCCUGUGUUAUUGAUUUUGGGGGUUCAUGGAAUCAGUUCUUACCGCUAGAGCUUUCGUACAACAACAACUACCAAUCGAGUAUUCAGAUGGCUCCUUAUGAGGUCUUAUAUGGGAGGAUGAAUCGUUCUCUAGUUGGUUGGUUUGAUCUGGCAGAGGUUAGGUUGUUGGGCACUGAUUUGAUUAGGGAUGCCUUGGGAAAAGUCAAGUUGAUUUAGGAUCAGCUUCGUAUGACACAAUCUAGGAAGAUCAGAAUGUUUGUGAUGUAGCAUUUAUGGUGGGAGCGAGGGUUUCGCUCAGAGUUUCACCCAUGAAGGGUGUGAUGAGGUUUGGAAAGAAGGGCAAGUUGAGCCCUAGGUAUAUUGGUCCUUUUGAGAUCCUUGGGAGAGUUGGUGAGGUGGCCUACAUACAUGCAUUGCCACUCAGCCUAUUGGUAGUCCACCCGGUGUUCCAUGUUUCCAUGCUCCGGAUGUAUUUUGCUGAUCUGCCUCAUGUAUUAGAUUUCACUUCAGUCCAAUUGGCCAAGGAUUUGACUUAUGUCGAGGAGCCAGGGCCUAUAUUGGAUAGGAAGGUACAGAAGUUGAGGUCAAAGAACAUUGCUUCACUGAAGGUUCAAUAGAGAGGUUAACCGGUCAUGGAGGCAACUUGGGAGACCAAGAAUGACAUGCAGAGUCAAUAUCCUCAACUUUUACGCACUCGGAUAUGUCUCUAUAUACUUGUUCGAGGAUGAACGUUUGUUUAAGAGGGGUAGAAUGUAAUGACCUGGCCGGUUGUUUUGUGUAUUAUAGACCCGUCCCCCCUGUUUAUUACUUCUCCUAUGUUCAUUUGUUAUUAUGCGACUCGCUGGGGUGUUUGGGAUUGGUUUCGGGAAGGUUUCGGAGUGAAUUGGGACACUUAGUCUCAAGGUUGGAGGCUUAAGUUGCAAGAGUUGACCAGAGUUUGACUUUUGUGUAGACGACUCCGAAAUGGAGUUUUGAUGGUUCCAGUACCUUUGUAUAGUGAUUUUUGACUUAGACGUAUAUCCGGAUGUUGAUUUGGAGGUCUGUAGGUUGAUUUGGUGCUUUUUGGCAAAAAUCAGAAAGUUGUGUCAUGCCCCAAACCUAGGAGGCGUGGCCGGCACCCGGUUCCAUACUCGGCAGGAGCGUACCACUCUGUAACUGUGAACUCUGGAGCGGUAACCCUCAACUUAGGCAGACGAGGCCUACCUGCAAACUGACAAUACAAUCAAGGCCGAUGAGGCCAUAUUCUGAAUCAUCUGAAACUAACGUCUCUCUCAUUUGAGGGGUAAACAUACCCAAAAGCUCAUACAUAUAACUGUGCAGGCCGACGAGGCCACCAUGAAUUUUUCCAACCAGCAAUACCAAACUGAACGUAUACACAGGGUUAGAAAGGCCACAAUACUGAUAUACAAAAUACCCAGGACUCGUCUCCAAGCCUCUAAAUAUAACUAAAUUAUAUCAUGGUCGGGACAGGGCCUCGACGUUCCCAUCAAACCUCUAUAUAUAAAAUGGACUCCAAGGUCUAGACCUGGUAACUCCGAGGAAGUGGAGCUUACCAACCAAGCUGAUGUUUGACUCUGUCUACUGAGAAGGUCUAUCUAGCUGUCUAUCGGGACCUGCAGGCAUGAAAUGCUGCGUCCCCAGCAAAAGGGACGUAAUAACGAAAUAAUGUAUCAAGUAUGUAAGGCAACAUAAUAAUUGAACUGAUAAUAUAAUAACUGAAAGUAACUAGAAGUCAAAGAUAAUUUGAAAAUAUGCUUACUUGCUGAUACUGACUCAACCCUCUCAAUAUAGUAUGUAAAAUAGUUGCCGGCCCUAUAAGGCUCGGACUGCUCUGCUGUAGUAGGCUCGCUCAUAGGUGCUCGGCCAUACUAGACUCUGUAUCUCGGCCAUUCUGGGCUCGCUCAUAGGCGCUCGGCCACAGUAGGCUCGAAAUAUAACUUACCAUCUCAUUGGAGGUUGCCCGAUAGGGGCCUUCCCACUUAUUACAGUCCAGUACAAGUUGAAUAACUCGAACUCACGGCAUCCGAUCACCGUCCCAUGAGCUCUUACAAUUAUUGAACAAAUUUAUCUACUUUUACAGCAGAAAAAAUGGAUGAAAGAGGGAAGUAUACUUAUCUUAUUUGUUGAAUAUCUCAACUCCUAGCUUGGUUCUUCAACCCUUAGGUUUUCCUCCAACUAGAACUUGAAAAGAAGAGAAAAUCAUUUCGGGUUUUGUGUUGAACUUUUGGGAGAAGUUUACAGGGGCUUAUCUCUAAUGUUUUUGAUCUAUAAUGAGUGUAACAUCUGAAGGAAAUCAGCCCUUAAAAUGUCUCUUUGGCCGACCAAAACUAGCCCCUCUUUGGACAUGUUUCGUCGUUUCAUUUAAGCAAGUAGGAGACACACCUUCUUAUCACUUACGCAGUCUGCGCAGUUUCACAAAAAUGCAAAUAUCUCUUUACUCCAAAGUCAUAUCGAUACACGGUUUAAUGCGUGAGCAACUAAACUCGUAGAUAUUUAAUUUUGGUAGGUUUAUCAUCCCCUAAUUCCAAGUAUAUUAGGAGAAAAGCGUAGCUACAUUUGACCUAUGUUUCAUCACAUUUAUGAAUGUAACUUGUGAUGACCUUUGCCAACUUUUGUUCCACAACUUGCUUGACUUCAAACACAACAUGCGACUAAAAUAACUUAUAUCAUAACCUCCUUAUAAUUUUAAUAAUCUUAGUCACAACCCAAAAGUACAUGUUAUAACAUCUUGUCGACUUUCGACGAAACUUAUUUUCUUCAAUUCGUUUAGUUCCUAAGCCUUCCAACCAUCUUGGUACUUGUUAUUCAUGAUCUUAAAUAUCUGUAACCCCAUGGUAACAUGACUAACUUACUUUAGGUAUUUUGAAAGAUGAUUUCAUUCCUAAUCUUACAUCAAUUAACUUGCGACGUACUCUUGCGUACGAAAAUAUGGAGUGUAACAAGUUGAAGGUUUGGAAGGUUGAGUGAUUUGACCGAGAGUUGACUUUGUUGAUAUCAGGUUUUGAUUUUUGUUCGGGGAGUUGGAAUAGGCCUGUUGCAUCAUUUGGGAUUAGUGUGCAAAAUUUGAGGUCAUUCGGAGUUGAUUUGAUAUGAUUCGACAUUUGUUUUAUAAGUUUGAAGUUCUUUAGUUUCAUUAGGCUUGAAUUGGGGUACGACUCAUGAAUUUGAUGUUGUUCGAUGUGAUUCGGACUGUUUUAGGACUGGUUGGUUUAUUUGGAUGGGGGCCCCUUGGGCCUCGGGUGUGAUUCGGAUGUUUGGCGAAUCAUUUUGGGAUUUUGAAGAAAUGUUGCAGAUUUGCAGGUUCUGGUGCAAUCGCACCUGCUAGAAUUUGGUCGCAGGUGUGAGACCGCAAAAGCGGCUUGGUGAUCAUAGGAGCAAUAUUGGCUGAUUCUAGGAAGGAGCGCAGGUGCGAGGAUUUAUCCGCAUAUGUGAGAUCGCAGUUACGGGCAGAUGAGCGCAGAAGCGAAGUUAAGCGGAGGCAUGGGUUUCCGCAAAUGCGUACAUGAGGGCACAGGUGCGCAGCUGCAGGAGUGAAAAUGAGAUCGCAAAAGCGGAAGUUUGCUGGGAGAUUAGGGACCGUAGAUGCGGAAGGAGCCCGCAGAAACGGAAUUACAGGUGCGAUGGGAGUUCCACAAAAGCGAAAGGGUGACUUUUGGAGGAAGUUGCAAAUGCAGACACUUUUACGCAAAAGCAAACCGCAGGUGCGGUUAAGUGAGUCGCAGGUGUGCAAUCGCUGGGUAGAACUUAUAAACGAGGGUUUGGUCAUUUUGUUCCUGUUUUGGAUUUUGGAGCUCGGCUAAGGGCAAUUUUAGUAGACGUUUUGCUACAAUUGAAGAGGUAAGUAAAGUUUAAUCACUUUUGAUAUUAUAUAUUAAUUACCCAUUGAUUAUUACACCUAGGCUAUGUGAAUUUAAAGAGAAAUUUUGGGAUUUUAGGCUAUGAUAUUUGAGAGUGAGAUUUGGUGAUUUAAGGGUCGAUUUGCGGAUGAAAUUUGAUGAAAUUAGUAUGGUUGGACUAGUUAUUGAAUGGGUGUUGGGGAUUUGUGAAUUUUGUCGGGUUCUGGGGUACGGGCCCUGGGUUGACUUUGCAUAUUUGAUUCAAGAUGUUAACUUUAUCAUUUGGAGUUGUUUCCUAUUGCUAUUAUUGAUGGUAUUAAGUUAAUUUGGCUAGAUUCGAGCCAUCCAGAGAUUGGUACGCGCGGGAAGGGCUUAUUAGUGGAUUGAGUUUUCUUGAUUGAGGUAAGUAUCUUGUCUAACUUUAUGUGGAAAAAACUACCCCUUAGAACUUGGGUUGUUUGUACUAUUCGAAUUAUGUGAAAGACGUAUAUUUGAGGUGACGAGUGUGUACACGAGUUUAUAUGUGGUAUUACUCUUAGGUUACUUAUAAGUAUUUAAUUGAAGUUAUUAUUAUUUGUUCUAUGUUUCUUUGGUAAGUUUAUUCUCACAUGCUCUAAUUGGAAUUGUCAUUACAUACUCUAGUUUCCAUCGUCAAGUUACUCUUAUAUGCAUUUACUUGUAGUAGUUGUUACAUGCCAUUCUUUCCAUUGUUGAGUUAUUCUCAUGCAUUUAGACUUAGCCACUAUAUCAAUCUAUCUCUUUCAUUGUUAAGCUUAUAUCAUGUCCUUGAAUUGGAAGUUGCCUUUUCGUGGGAAUAUCUUCAAUGUUGAGUUAUGGAAGUCGUAGUUGUGAAAGCUAUUAAAACAUUGAGGUUGAAGUUGUUAAUUGUUGAGAUAUCUUUCCUUAUUGAGUUGUUUCUCACUCCUUUUGUUACUAUUGAGAUUUUGUACACAUUGUGGUUUAGCCUUGGGCUAUAUGUUGUGGUAACAUCGGUAUUAUUGAUUUUGAAAAUGUUGUGACAUUUUGGCAUGUAUGGUGUGAGUUAAUUAUUGUGUUGCGAUAUUGAUGUGCAUACUAUGGUAUAAGGAUACAAGUUGAUGUGCAUGCGGCAAGAUAAGGUGGGAUUUAUACAUGUGUUUCUAGUAAAGGAAUUACUUGAAGCCAUGCGGUGAGAUAAGGGGGCUAAAGCGAGUGUAGCUAUUUUGGGAAAAAUAUUUUUGAAAAAAUGCAAGGCUCACGCGGUGACGUAAGGAAGAUUGUAAUUAUGACUUAUGAAAUGUGAACAUGAGGUGUAGUACCUCGGUAUGAUUCUUGUUGUACAUUGCAUAUUGGAAAGGCUUGAUGAUUUGAACUAUUGUUUGUUCUUAUUUUCCUUAUUUCUUCCCUUUAGAAUUUUUUAUUGUAAUUGGUUACUUGUUGUCUUUAUUACAUGCGCUCUCUCAUUAUCAUUUGUUGCUUUACUUCUGUUGCUAGCCCUGUAUUGAUAAAUUGCUUUAUUGUCCUUUAAUUGCCUUUAUCUUCUGUUAUUAGAUUAUAUAAUAUAUUGUUCAGGUUUUCUUUUCUCUAGUAGGUAUCUUGACCUAGCCUCGUCACUACUCUACCGAGGUUAGACUUGAUACUUACUGGGUACCAUUGUGGUUUACUCAUGCUACACUUCUGCAUAUUUUUGUGCGGAUCCAGGUAUAUCCGCUUGAGCCGGAUGCUAGUGAUUUGUUUAGUUACUUCGGAGAUUUCAAGGUAUACCUGCUUGACGCUCACAAGCCUCAGAUUCACCUUCUUCUUUUGCUUUACUACUGUUUAUCUUUAUUUUAAACAAAGUUGUAUUAGACAUUUUUAGUGCAUUCUCUGUAGAGCUUAUGACUCAGUUCCAUCGAUUUUGGGGAUUUUGUAUUUGCUAUUCAGUAUCUAUGUUAUCAUGAGAUUUGUCAGUUUAAUUUAAUAACCUUUGUCGUUAUUUCUAUUUAAAUCUCUUGAAUGAUAGGCUUACCUAGUCUUAGAGACUAGGUGCCAUUACGACAUUCUAAGGAGGGAGUUUGGGGUCGUAACAGGUUUCAUCACUGUUGGACCACUAUUGAUUUUCUGAUAAACAUUACACUAAAGGCGAAUGAAAAUUACCCCCGUGUUAUUGAGGUCACGACCCUCCGAUUUGAUUCUUCCGAACCGAGCCCAAAAUAAAUGAGGCGAUAAUGAUAAAAUCAUCGGAAAAGGAAAAAGACGUGAAACGUGACGAGCCGACACUUUGGAUGGUGACACAGUUGGACACCGUAGAAGCAACCAAAGUGGUUUCCGUUCUCAUGUCUAGACGGAAAUCAAAAUCAUAAUCUAAGCCUCAAAAUACUUUUAAAAAAAAAAA
This 43793-nucleotide long non-coding RNA is filed under the name Nicotiana tabacum (common tobacco). Its description in RNAcentral is "long non-coding RNA (NTAB_LNC005831)". Lineage: Eukaryota; Viridiplantae; Streptophyta; Magnoliopsida; Solanales; Solanaceae. The record is from RNAcentral.